GACGAACGCUGGCGGCGUGCCUAAUACAUGCAAGUUGAGCGCUGAAGGUUGGUACUUGUACCAACUGGAUGAGCAGCGAACGGGUGAGUAACGCGUGGGGAAUCUGCCUUUGAGCGGGGGACAACAUUUGGAAACGAAUGCUAAUACCGCAUAAAAACUUUAAACACAAGUUUUAAGUUUGAAAGAUGCAAUUGCAUCACUCAAAGAUGAUCCCGCGUUGUAUUAGCUAGUUGGUGAGGUAAAGGCUCACCAAGGCGAUGAUACAUAGCCGACCUGAGAGGGUGAUCGGCCACAUUGGGACUGAGACACGGCCCAAACUCCUACGGGAGGCAGCAGUAGGGAAUCUUCGGCAAUGGACGAAAGUCUGACCGAGCAACGCCGCGUGAGUGAAGAAGGGUUUCGGACCGUAAAACUCUGUUGGUAGAGAAGAACGUUGGUGAGAGUGGAAAGCUCAUCAAGUGACGGUAACUACCCAGAAAGGGACGGCUAACUACGUG
This 497-nucleotide ribosomal RNA is filed under the name uncultured bacterium. Its description in RNAcentral is "partial 16S ribosomal RNA". It matches the Rfam family "Bacterial small subunit ribosomal RNA", at positions 28 to 507 of the family's 1533-position model. The record is from RNAcentral.